Molecule: ribosomal RNA, 718 nt
Filed under: Bacillus subtilis
Lineage: Bacteria; Bacillati; Bacillota; Bacilli; Caryophanales; Bacillaceae
Description: bacterial SSU rRNA
Rfam family: Bacterial small subunit ribosomal RNA
Source: RNAcentral
CUAUACUGCAAGUCGAGCGGACAGAUGGGAGCUUGCUCCCUGAUGUUAGCGGCGGACGGGUGAGUAACACGUGGGUAACCUGCCUGUAAGACUGGGAUAACUCCGGGAAACCGGGGCUAAUACCGGAUGGUUGUUUGAACCGCAUGGUUCAAACAUAAAAGGUGGCUUCGGCUACCACUUACAGAUGGACCCGCGGCGCAUUAGCUAGUUGGUGAGGUAACGGCUCACCAAGGCAACGAUGCGUAGCCGACCUGAGAGGGUGAUCGGCCACACUGGGACUGAGACACGGCCCAGACUCCUACGGGAGGCAGCAGUAGGGAAUCUUCCGCAAUGGACGAAAGUCUGACGGAGCAACGCCGCGUGAGUGAUGAAGGUUUUCGGAUCGUAAAGCUCUGUUGUUAGGGAAGAACAAGUACCGUUCGAAUAGGGCGGUACCUUGACGGUACCUAACCAGAAAGCCACGGCUAACUACGUGCCAGCAGCCGCGGUAAUACGUAGGUGGCAAGCGUUGUCCGGAAUUAUUGGGCGUAAAGGGCUCGCAGGCGGUUUCUUAAGUCUGAUGUGAAAGCCCCCGGCUCAACCGGGGAGGGUCAUUGGAAACUGGGGAACUUGAGUGCAGAAGAGGAGAGUGGAAUUCCACGUGUAGCUGUGAAAUGCUUAUAGAUGUGUAGGAACACCAUUGUUGAAUGCUACUCUCUUGUCUUUUACUGUUUCUUUA